Molecule: long non-coding RNA, 1521 nt
Filed under: Salmo salar (Atlantic salmon)
Lineage: Eukaryota; Metazoa; Chordata; Actinopteri; Salmoniformes; Salmonidae
Description: lncRNA (ENSSSAG00000085463.1, ENSSSAG00000101333.1)
Source: RNAcentral
UGAAAACUAAAUGUUUAUUGAGCAGAAACAGUACUCAGAACAGCGUUAUCCUUUAAUCAAAAAAUAUCUCUGGAACAGUAGCAAGGUCAAUGGUCAGAGGUCAGCACCAACCCUUCAAAAAACAGAACAAAACAAACGUAAAGAGUAGAAAGCAACAGCCAGCAGGGUUCGCUCUGCUCUGAUCACAUCUCAGUCUAUUCACUGAUGUCUGGAGUCACCUGGUCCUCACCUAGAAAUCAGUCUGUUAACUGGUACCAGUCUGGAAGAGGAGGGGGGCUAUAGGGGUCUGUAGUAGAGGAGGGGGGUUAUAGGGGUCUGUAGUAGAGGGGGGGGGUUAUAGGGGUCUGUAGUAGAGGUGGGGGGUUAUAGGGGUCUGUAGUAGAGGUGGGGGGUUAUAGGGGUCUGUAGUAGAGGAGGGGGGUUAUAGGGGUCUGUAGUAGAGGAGGGGGGUUAUAGGGGUCUGUAGUAGAGGAGGGGGGUUAUAGGGGUCUGUAGUAGAGGAGGGGGGGUUAUAGGGGUCUGUAGUAGAGGGGGGGUCUGUAGUAGAGGAGGGGGGGUUAUAGGGGUCUGUAGUAGAGGAGGGGGUUAUAGGGGUCUGUAGUAGAGGAGGGGGGUUAUAGGGGUCUGUAGUAGAGGAGGGGGGUUAUAGGGGUCUGUAGUAGAGGAGGGGGGGUUAUAGGGUCUGUAGUAGAGGAGGGGGGUUAUAGGGGUCUGUAGUAGAGGAGGGGGGUUAUAGGGGUCUGUAGUAGAGGUGGGGGGGUUAUAGGGGUCUGUAGUAGAGGAGGGGGUUAUAGGGGUCUGUAGUAGAGGGGGUUUAUAGGGGUCUGUAGUAGAGGAGGGGGGUUAUAGGGGUCUGUAGUAGAGGAGGGGGUUAUAGGGGUCUGUAGUAGAGGAGGGGGGUUAUAGGGGUCUGUAGUAGAGGAGGGGGUUAUAGGGGUCUGUAGUAGAGGGGGGGUCUGUAGUAGAGGAGGGGGGGUUAUAGGGGUCUGUAGUAGAGGAGGGGGCUUAUAGGGGUCUGUAGUAGAGGAGGGGGGGUUAUAGGGGUCUGUAGUAGAGGAGGGGGGUUAUAGGGGUCUGUAGUAGAGGAGGGGGUCUGUAGUAGAGGAGGGGGGUUAUAGGGGUCUGUAGUAGAGGAGGGGGUUAUAGGGGUCUGUAGUAGAGGAGGGGGGGUUAUAGGGGUCUGUAGUAGAGGAGGGGGGGUUAUAGGGGUCUGUAGUAGAGGAGGGGGGGUCUGUAGUAGAGGAGGGGGGGUUAUAGGGGUCUGUAGUAGAGGAGGGGGUUAUAGGGGUCUGUAGUAGAGGAGGGGGGUUAUAGGGUCUGUAGUAGAGGAGGGGGGGUUAUAGGGGUCUGUAGUAGAGGAGGGGGGGGUUAUAGGGUCUGUAGUAGAGGAGGGGGGUUAUAGGGUCUGUAGUAGAGGAGGGGGGGUUAUAGGUGUCUGUAGUAACGAGGGGGGGUCCAUAGUGCAUGGGCAUGUUGAUGUCUAUAUUGUUUGGGUUGUUGUUGACCUGGUUGAGAGGGGGG